This 836-nucleotide ribosomal RNA is filed under the name Streptomyces sp. IM-7259. RNAcentral's name for it is "bacterial SSU rRNA". It matches the Rfam family "Bacterial small subunit ribosomal RNA", at positions 38 to 889 of the family's 1533-position model. The record is from RNAcentral. Lineage: Bacteria; Bacillati; Actinomycetota; Actinomycetes; Kitasatosporales; Streptomycetaceae.
GGCGGCGUGCUUAACACAUGCAAGUCGAACGAUGAAGCCCUUCGGGGUGGAUUAGUGGCGAACGGGUGAGUAACACGUGGGCAAUCUGCCCUUCACUCUGGGACAAGCCCUGGAAACGGGGUCUAAUACCGGAUAUGAGCCUGGGAGGCAUCUCCCGGGUUGUAAAGCUCCGGCGGUGAAGGAUGAGCCCGCGGCCUAUCAGCUUGUUGGUGAGGUAAUGGCUCACCAAGGCGACGACGGGUAGCCGGCCUGAGAGGGCGACCGGCCACACUGGGACUGAGACACGGCCCAGACUCCUACGGGAGGCAGCAGUGGGGAAUAUUGCACAAUGGGCGAAAGCCUGAUGCAGCGACGCCGCGUGAGGGAUGACGGCCUUCGGGUUGUAAACCUCUUUCAGCAGGGAAGAAGCGAAAGUGACGGUACCUGCAGAAGAAGCGCCGGCUAACUACGUGCCAGCAGCCGCGGUAAUACGUAGGGCGCAAGCGUUGUCCGGAAUUAUUGGGCGUAAAGAGCUCGUAGGCGGCUUGUCACGUCGAUUGUGAAAGCCCGAGGCUUAACCUCGGGUCUGCAGUCGAUACGGGCUAGCUAGAGUGUGGUAGGGGAGAUCGGAAUUCCUGGUGUAGCGGUGAAAUGCGCAGAUAUCAGGAGGAACACCGGUGGCGAAGGCGGAUCUCUGGGCCAUUACUGACGCUGAGGAGCGAAAGCGUGGGGAGCGAACAGGAUUAGAUACCCUGGUAGUCCACGCCGUAAACGGUGGGCACUAGGUGUUGGCGACAUUCCACGUCGUCGGUGCCGCAGCUAACGCAUUAAGUGCCCCGCCUGGGGAGUACGGCCGC